This 28-nucleotide non-coding RNA is filed under the name Rattus norvegicus (Norway rat). Lineage: Eukaryota; Metazoa; Chordata; Mammalia; Rodentia; Muridae. The record is from RNAcentral.
UCACAGUUUAAGUCCUGGAUUGGGUGAU